Molecule: ribosomal RNA, 509 nt
Filed under: uncultured bacterium
Lineage: Bacteria
Description: partial 16S ribosomal RNA
Rfam family: Bacterial small subunit ribosomal RNA
Source: RNAcentral
GACAAACGCUGGCGGCGCGCUUAACACAUGCAAGUCGAGCGAGAACCAGCCCUUCGGGGCUGGGGACAGCGGCGAACGGGUGAGUAACACGUGGGUAAUCAACCCUCGGUACUGGGAUAGCCCGGGGAAACCCGGAUUAAUACCGGAUGGCCCUUUGGAUCUUCGGAUCUGACGGAAAAGGUAGCUUCGGCCUCCGACCGAGGACGAGCCCGCGGCGGAUUAGCUUGUUGGUGGGGUAAUGGCCUACCAAGGCGGCGAUCCGUAGCUGGUCUGAGAGGACGAUCGGCCAAACUGGGACUGAGACACGGCCCAGACUCCUACGGGAGGCAGAAGUGGGGAAUCUUGCGCUAAUGCGGGAAACCGUGACGCAGCGACGCCGCGUGAGGGAAGAAGGCCUUCGGGUUGUAAACCUCUUUCAGGAGGGACGAAGCUACUCGGGUUAAUAGCCCAGAGGGUGACGGUACCUCCAGAAGAAGCCCCGGCUAACUACGUGCCAGCAGCCGCGGUAA